GUGCCAGCCGCCGCGGUAAAACGUAGGACGCGAGCGUUAUCCGGAGUUACUGGGCGUAAAGCGCGGGCAGGCGGUUGGACAAGUGGGAUGUGAAAGCGCCCGGCUAAACCGGGCGAGGCCAUUCCAAACUGUCCGACUGGAGGGCAGUAGAGGUGGGUAGAAUUCCGGGUGGAGUGGUGAAAUGCGUAGAGAUCCGGAGGAAUACCAGAGGCGAAGGCGGCCCACUGGGCUGCACCUGACGCUGAGCCGCGAAAGCCAGGGGAGCGAACGGGAUUAGAAACCCCUGUAGUCC
RNAcentral lists this ribosomal RNA (292 nucleotides) under uncultured bacterium. Its description in RNAcentral is "partial 16S ribosomal RNA". It matches the Rfam family "Bacterial small subunit ribosomal RNA", at positions 505 to 796 of the family's 1533-position model. The record is from RNAcentral.